Molecule: long non-coding RNA, 212 nt
Filed under: dengue virus type 2
Lineage: Riboviria; Orthornavirae; Kitrinoviricota; Flasuviricetes; Amarillovirales; Flaviviridae
Description: Dengue virus type 2 partial sfRNA1
Rfam family: Flavivirus DB element (bases 156-212)
Source: RNAcentral
CAGAAGUCAGGUCGGAUUAAGCCAUAGUACGGAAAAAACUAUGCUACCUGUGAGCCCCGUCCAAGGACGUUAAAAGAAGUCAGGCCACUACAAGUGCCAUAGCUUGAGUAAACUAUGCAGCCUGUAGCUCCACCUGGGAAGGUGUAAAAAAUCUGGGAGGCCACAAACCAUGGAAGCUGUACGCAUGGCGUAGUGGACUAGCGGUUAGAGGA